This 193-nucleotide ribosomal RNA is filed under the name uncultured soil bacterium. Its description in RNAcentral is "partial 16S ribosomal RNA". It matches the Rfam family "Bacterial small subunit ribosomal RNA", at positions 26 to 218 of the family's 1533-position model. The record is from RNAcentral.
AGGAUGAACGCUGGCGGCGUGCUUAACACAUGCAAGUCGAACGAUGAAGCAGAGCUUGCUCUGUGGAUUAGUGGCGAACGGGUGAGUAACACGUGAGUAACCUGCCCUUGACUCUGGAAUAAGCGUUGGAAACGGCGUCUAAUACCGGAUACGAGCUUCCGCCGCAUGGUGAGGAGCUUGGAAAGAAUUUCGG